RNAcentral lists this long non-coding RNA (2935 nucleotides) under Homo sapiens (human). RNAcentral's name for it is "HSALNT0409373". The record is from RNAcentral. Lineage: Eukaryota; Metazoa; Chordata; Mammalia; Primates; Hominidae.
UGAGAACACAGGACUGAUUCACCACUUGAUGCCUGGCUGUUUAUCCCUCAGGAUCAUUGAUGGACAUGAUCUGAUGCCCCUACUUGAAGGAAAAUACCAGUACUCUGAUCAUGAGUUUCUCUUCCGUUACUGAAAUGCCCACUUAAACGCUGGUGCCCUUGGAACAAUGGGACUGACUAGAUGCAGGAAAACUAGCUCAGGGCUGCCACUGAUUCUACAUUAUGGACUGACACCACAUGGAGGCUUGAGACUUACACCCUCUGAAGCCAUGGCCCAAGCUGUACUUUUGCUCCUUUUUACCACAGUUGAAACAGCACAAGUUGGAACAAAGCACCAAGUCCAGAGGCAGCACAAAGCAGUGGGAAAAGCAUUUUUUUCCUCCUAUACCUCCAGACCUGUGAUGGGAAGACUACCAUCAAGGUUGCUGAGAUGGCCUGGAGACAUUUUCACCAUUGGCUCCUCAUUAAUUUUGCAAAUUUCAUCAAUGAGUUUGAAUUUCUUCCCAGAAAAUGGUUUUCUUUCUUUUCUACUGCAUCAUCAGGCUUCAAAUUUUCUAAACUUUUAUGCUCUGUUACUUCUCGAAUACUUUGCUGCUUAGAAAUUUCUUCUGCCAGAUACCCUUAAAUUUUCUCUCUUAAUUUCAAAGUUCCAAAGAUCUCUAGGGCAGGGGCAGAAAGCUGCCAGUCUCCUUGCUAAAGUACAGCAAGAGUCACCUUUACUCAAGUUCCCAACAAAUUCUUCAUCUCCAUCUGAGACCACCUCAGCCUGAAUAUUAUUGUCCAUAUUACUAUCAGCAUUUUGGUCAAAGCCAUUCAGCAAGUCGCUAGGAGGCUCUAAACUUUCUCACAUCUUCCUGUCUUCCAAACCCUCCAAUUCUCUAGGCAGUUCCAAAGUUUCCCACAUCUUCUUGUUUCCUUAGCCCUCCAAGUCUCUAGGAAGUUCCAAGGCUAUCCCACAUUUUUCUGUCUUCUUCUGAGCCCUGAAAACUGUUCCAACCUCUGCUUCUUACCCACUUCCAAAGUCACUUCCAUAUUUUUGGGUACCUUUACAGCAGCACCCCACUACCAGCUACUAAUUUAUUGUAUUAUUCAGUUCUCAUGCUGAUAAUAAAGACAUACCCAAGACAGGGUAAUUUAUAAAGGAAAGAAGUUUAAUAGACUCACAGUUCCUUAAGGAUGGGGAGGCUUCAGGAAUCUUAUGAUCAUGGCAGAAUGGGAAGCAAACAUGUCCUUCACAUGGCAGCAACAAGGAGAAGUGCAGAGCAAAGGUAGGACAAAGCACCUUAUAAAAACAUAGAUCUUGUGAGAACUCACUAUAAUGUGAGCAACGUGGAGAUAAACACUCUCAUAAUUCAAUUAUUCCCACUGGGUCUCUUUCAUGACAUGUGGGAAUUAUGGGGACUACAAUUCAAUAUGAGAUUUGGAUGGGGACACAGCAAAAACAUAUCACCAUAAGAGGGCAUAAGACAGCCUGGUUCCCUGUGUCACCACCAGGAGCAGCUCCAGAGAGUUGCCUGCUCAACAGGUGGCUGUAACCUGAAUGAGAACUAAACUGUUUUUAAAUAUGAGGAACUGAGAUUUGGAGGUUGUUAAGUAUAACAUCAGCAGGAGAUAAUUACCUUGACUAAUACAAGAGGUCAGCCAUACUAGAUAAACCUAACAUUUUAUGAUAAUUCUUUGGAUUUCAAAAAGAUGCUUUGAUUUACUGGUACUCUUUAAAUGGAAGUUAUGUGCAUUAUCUUUAAAGGCUAUCAGCUAUGUGAAAGUGAUAAUUGAAUAAAAUUAAAGAUAAAAAUAUAGUGGAGUCUACUACCAAUUGACCAUGGCCCUGAAUUGAUUGUAAGUGAUUCUGCUAUUCCAGUAUAAAUGAGCGGAGAGGCAGAGUUGAUUAAUUUCCACAACAAAUGUAAUUAUUACUUAAAUGUUGAGGUUCUUUUUGAAACAUUUCAUUUUGCUUCACUGGAUUCUAUGAGAAUAAUAGAUUUCAAAAUAUAUUACACUUAUUGGGGAAUGAUGUUAUUUUUAGUGGCAGUUGCAACUUUAAAAUUUUUCAAUGAAUAUAUAUAUUACAUAUUUCAUAGUAUUAUAAAUACAUACAUUUUUUAAGAUGGAGUUUCACUCUUGUCACCCAGGCUGGAAUCCCAUGGCACAAUCUUGGCUCACUGCAACCUCCUCCUCUUGAGUUCAAGUGAUUCUCUUGCCUCAAUCUCCCGAAGAGCUGGGUUUACAGGCACCCGCCACCAUGCCCAGCUAUACAGGCACACACCACCAUGCCCAGGUUUUUUUUUUUUUUUUUUUUAUUUUUAGUACAGUCAGGAUUUCACCAUGUGGGCCAGGCUGGUCUUGAACUUCUGACCUUAGGUGAUCUGCCCACCUCGGCCUCCCAAAGUGCUGUGAUUACAGGCAUGAGCCACUGCACCCAGCCCCAGUGGAUAUAUUUUUUGUAAUGUAUUAUUGAAUUCCCUAUAAACUUUGUCACGUUGAAAUACUUUUUAAAAUACUUCCCGUGCCUACAUAGUAGUUCAGUAAAUGCAAUAUUUUAGUUUCGUUAAUGACAUCUUGGUCUUAGGAAAAGAUGAAACAAUGACAUAAUAUUUUAAGCCAAGCUAUUUCUGCAAUCUUUGAAAUAAUACCAUUGAACUUGUGUUUAAUAUUUCCAAUUAGUUCAUGUGAUUCUUGCAUUUUGUGCUUUUUCUUCAUGUGAAUUAAUAAUUCCAAUAAUUAAUUGGAAUUAUUUCCAAUUAAUUUAUGUGAUUCUUGCAUUUUCUUUCAAAGUCAGAUGGUUAACUAUGUCAUUAAUGCAAAGUGUAGGCUCUGUGUUGAAAUCUGAAGACACUCUGCAGCAAGGUUUGCACAUACUCUUGUCUACUGCCUCAGGCUGAUGUGUGUGAAAGUCAGAAGUUCUAUAGGAAGAAGCUGGAAAAAUUCAAAGCUUG